UACGAAGGUGGCAAGCGUUACUCGGAAUUACUAGGCGUAAAGGGCAGGUAGGUGGUUUGGUUAGUCUGUUGUGAAGCUCCUUGCUUAACGGGGAGAGGCCAACAGAUACUGCCAGACUUGAGUAUGGGAGAGGUUACUGGAAUUCCGGUGUAGCGGUGAAAGUGACGCAGAGAUCGGGAGGAACACCAAUGGCGAAAGCAGGUAACUGGACCAUUACUGACACUCAGCUGCGAAAGCUAGGGAGCAACA
This 249-nucleotide ribosomal RNA is filed under the name uncultured bacterium. RNAcentral's name for it is "partial 16S ribosomal RNA". It matches the Rfam family "Bacterial small subunit ribosomal RNA", at positions 524 to 773 of the family's 1533-position model. The record is from RNAcentral.